Molecule: ribosomal RNA, 305 nt
Filed under: uncultured bacterium
Lineage: Bacteria
Description: bacterial SSU rRNA
Rfam family: Bacterial small subunit ribosomal RNA
Source: RNAcentral
UUCCCUACGGGGCGCAGCAGUGAGGAAUAUUGGUCAAUGGGCGAUAGCCUGAACCAGCCAAGUCGCGUGAGGGAAGACGGCCCUAUGGGCUGUAAACCUCUUUUGUCGGGGAGCAAAGUCGCUACGUGUAGUGAUUUGAGAGUACCCGAAGAAAAAGCAUCGGCUAACUCCGUGCCAGCAGCCGCGGUAAUACGGAGGAUGCGAGCGUUAUCCGGAUUUAUUGGGUUUAAAGGGUGCGUAGGCGGGAGAUCAAGUCAGCGGUAAAAAUGCGGGGCCCAACCCCGUCGAGCCGUUGAAACUGGUUU